Molecule: small RNA, 119 nt
Filed under: Marmota monax (woodchuck)
Lineage: Eukaryota; Metazoa; Chordata; Mammalia; Rodentia; Sciuridae
Source: RNAcentral
CCUGGAGCAUAGUGGUGAAUGCCCAUCAUCUCAGCUGCUCAGGAGGCUGAGGCAGGAGGAUCACUUGAGCCCAGGAGUCUGGGGCCAGCCAUGGACAAUGUAGUGAGACCCAGCCUUUU